This 460-nucleotide ribosomal RNA is filed under the name uncultured bacterium. RNAcentral describes it as "partial 16S ribosomal RNA". It matches the Rfam family "Bacterial small subunit ribosomal RNA", at positions 338 to 795 of the family's 1533-position model. The record is from RNAcentral.
CCUACGGGGUGCAGCAGUGAGGAAUAUUGGUCAAUGGACGAGAGUCUGAACCAGCCAAGUAGCGUGAAGGAUGACUGCCCUAUGGGUUGUAAACUUCUUUUAUAUGGGAAUAAAACGUUCCACGUGUGGGAUUUUGUAUGUACCAUAUGAAUAAGGAUCGGCUAACUCCGUGCCAGCAGCCGCGGUAAUACGGAGGAUCCGAGCGUUAUCCGGAUUUAUUGGGUUUAAAGGGAGCGUAGGUGGAUUGUUAAGUCAGUUGUGAAAGUUUGCGGCUCAACCGGAAAAUUGCAGUUGAAACUGGCAGUCUUGAGUACAGUAGAGGUGGGCGGAAUUCGUGGUGUAGCGGUGAAAUGCUUAGAUAUCACGAAGAACUCCGAUUGCGAAGGCAGUUCACUGGACUGCAACUGACACUGAGGCUCGAAAGUGUGGGUAUCAAACAGGAUUAGAUACCCGAGUAGUC